AACGUAGGAGACGAGCGUUAUCCGGAUUUACUGGGCGUAAAGGGCAAGUAGGCGGUAAGCAAAGUUGGGCGUGACAUCUCUCGGCUUAACUGGGAGGGGUCGUCCAAAACUAGCUAACUAGAGGGCAGGAGAGGGGAGUGGAAUUCCUAGUGUAGCGGUGGAAUGCUUAGAUAUUAGGAAGAACACCAGUGGCGAAGGCGACUCUCUGGCCUGACCCUGACGCUGAGAGGCGAAAGCUAGGGGAGCGAACGGG
This 253-nucleotide ribosomal RNA is filed under the name uncultured bacterium. RNAcentral's name for it is "partial 16S ribosomal RNA". It matches the Rfam family "Bacterial small subunit ribosomal RNA", at positions 524 to 776 of the family's 1533-position model. The record is from RNAcentral.